Molecule: unclassified non-coding RNA, 1233 nt
Filed under: Leishmania donovani
Lineage: Eukaryota; Euglenozoa; Kinetoplastea; Trypanosomatida; Trypanosomatidae
Description: gene:LdHU3.11.1350(CDS-product:60S_ribosomal_prot ein_L28_putative)
Source: RNAcentral
AACUGCGCACGAAUCAUGUCGCACUCUGUCGAUCUCCAGUGGAUCCUGGUCCGCCAGAACAGCCGCUUCCUGCAGAAGCGCGGCGGCAUUCGCAUGAGCAACGACCCGUUCAACAACAACGGCAACUGGACGAAGCGCCACUGCGGCUUCCUGAACGAGAAGGCUGCUGUUGUGAAGCCGGCGAAGGGUGGUGCGAUCUGCGUGACGGUGAAGGACGGCAGCAGCAACAACAAACCGAGGCAGACGUACAGGAAGACCGUGCAUGCUGCUGGCGUGAGGGCGUCGGACGUGAGCCGUGCCGUGGCUGCUGUGCGUCCGGACCUCGCGGACGUGUCGUUCCGCCGCGCGCGCCGCAUGGCCUGCAUUGCGAGCCGCACGGCGAAGGUGGCUGCUGCGCGCAAGGCCCGCUCCGAGAAGAUCAAGUUUUCACGCAAGUCCGUGCGCGCGAAGCGCCACUAGGCCGCGCGUGCGCGUGCCGCUGCCGGACUGCGAGGCGCCAGCCGAUUCGCUUGCGUUGCUUCUCUCCUUUUUCUUCGCAUUGCGCGUUUUGUUUUUGUGUUUUAUCAUUCCCCGCCUUCGCAAAACACGCGUCGUCUCUUCGCCGCCGCGCUCGUGCGCGGCAUCGCCGUCGGCUGCGAGUGACGGAGACAGGCGCGAUGUGAGUUGAGGCGAAGCCGCAAGAAAAAAAAAAUAUGUAUGCGAGCGCGAGGGCGAGCGGGCUCGGACACCCUCCUGCCCAGACUGCAGCGUGCGCUGCCGUCAUCGCAAGGAUGGGGAGGCGGCAGCUGUGUCGAGUCCGAUGGCAUUGUGCGCGUGUGUCCGAGUGGCGCCGACGCCGCGCCUCCACCUGCGCUCCUCUUGUUGGUACUCCCAAGCUCCGUCGUAGGUGCUGCGUCGUUGCUGUGAGCGAUGCGAUGAGGGUGUGGGGUGUAUUCGAGCGUGCCACUGUGAAGCGGGUGCAACGCCAGUGAUUGUUGGCUCACACAGGCGCGCACGUGCGCAUAUGUAUAGCUGUACGCUCACGCGCACCCGGCUUGCCGGCGGCGUUUCCGCGCAGCGCCAGCUUGUUUCGACGACUGCGCUGCUGCCUGGUGCCCUGCAUGUUAGUGGAGUAGCUGAUUUCUCGCUUGUGCGCCGUCGUUUCUCACCUGUCUUCACGUAUUCUCGUGCACUCGGUCUCUCGCACCGCUGCCUGUCGCUCACCCGACAUGUCAUCUGUGUUCGGUGCUGGAG